This 119-nucleotide ribosomal RNA is filed under the name Vitis vinifera (wine grape). Lineage: Eukaryota; Viridiplantae; Streptophyta; Magnoliopsida; Vitales; Vitaceae. The record is from RNAcentral.
GGGUGCCAUCGUACCAACACUAAUGCACUGGAUCCCAUUAGAACUCCGCAGUUAAGCGUGCUUGGGCGAGAGUAGUUCUAGGAUGGGUGACCUCCUCAAAAGUCCUCAUGUUGCACCUA